This 217-nucleotide ribosomal RNA is filed under the name uncultured bacterium. RNAcentral's name for it is "partial 16S ribosomal RNA". It matches the Rfam family "Bacterial small subunit ribosomal RNA", at positions 1285 to 1500 of the family's 1533-position model. The record is from RNAcentral.
GUCUCAGUCGGAUCGCAGGCUGCAACCCGCCUGCGUGAAGUCGGAAUCGCUAGUAAUCGCGGAUCAGCAUGCCGCGGUGAAUACGUUCCCGGGCCUUGUACACACCGCCCGUCACACCAUGAGAGUCGGGAACACCCGAAGUCCGUAGCCUAACUAGCAAUAGAGGGCGCGGCCGAAGGUGGGUUCGAUAAUUGGGGUGAAGUCGUAACAAGGUAAC